RNAcentral lists this ribosomal RNA (253 nucleotides) under uncultured bacterium. Its description in RNAcentral is "partial 16S ribosomal RNA". It matches the Rfam family "Bacterial small subunit ribosomal RNA", at positions 524 to 776 of the family's 1533-position model. The record is from RNAcentral.
UACGGAGGGGACUAGCGUUGUUCGGAAUUACUGGGCGUAAAGCGCACGUAGGCGGAUUUGUAAGUCAGGGGUGAAAUCCCGAGGCUCAACCUCGGAACUGCCUUUGAUACUGCAAAUCUCGAGUCCGGAAGAGGUGAGUGGAAUUCCUAGUGUAGAGGUGAAAUUCGUAGAUAUUGGGAAGAACACCGGUGGCGAAGGCGGCUAUCUGGCCCGUAAUUGACGCUGAGGCGCGAAAGCGUGGGGAGCAAACAGG